AUUGAACGCUGGCGGCAGGCCUAACACAUGCAAGUCGAGCGGUAGAGAGGUGCUUGCAUCUCUUGAGAGCGGCGGACGGGUGAGUAAUGCCUAGGAAUCUGCCUAGUGGUGGGGGAUAACGUUCGGAAACGGACGCUAAUACCGCAUACGUCCUACGGGAGAAAGCGGGGGAUCUUCGGACCUCGCGCCAUUAGAUGAGCCUAGGUCGGAUUAGCUAGUUGGUGAGGUAAUGGCUCACCAAGGCGACGAUCCGUAACUGGUCUGAGAGGAUGAUCAGUCACACUGGAACUGAGACACGGUCCAGACUCCUACGGGAGGCAGCAGUGGGGAAUAUUGGACAAUGGGCGAAAGCCUGAUCCAGCCAUGCCGCGUGUGUGAAGAAGGUCUUCGGAUUGUAAAGCACUUUAAGUUGGGAGGAAGGGUAGUAACCUAAUACGUUGCUACUUUGACGUUACCGACAGAAUAAGCACCGGCUAACUUACGUGCCAGCAGCCG
RNAcentral lists this ribosomal RNA (495 nucleotides) under uncultured bacterium. RNAcentral describes it as "bacterial SSU rRNA". It matches the Rfam family "Bacterial small subunit ribosomal RNA", at positions 30 to 517 of the family's 1533-position model. The record is from RNAcentral.